RNAcentral lists this long non-coding RNA (226 nucleotides) under Homo sapiens (human). RNAcentral describes it as "non-protein coding lnc-NDUFA4-4:1". The record is from RNAcentral. Lineage: Eukaryota; Metazoa; Chordata; Mammalia; Primates; Hominidae.
GUGUAUCUAUGUGUGGGAAGAGAGAACAGCAUUGUUACCGACAUACUUCGAUGCUAAUAAACAUUUGGGCCACACCUCCCAUUGUUCCUGCCCAUGAUGGCCCUUGGCAGGACUGGAUCUGCCUUUCUGUGGUCUGAAAAUAGCUCUGAAAAUGUCACGAUCUGGUGUUUUCCCCUCAGGUGGAGGCAGCCUGAUCUACAUAGGAGCCCAGAAGACUUAUUUCAAC